Long non-coding RNA from Triticum dicoccoides, 1412 nucleotides. RefSeq lists it as uncharacterized. The transcript has 2 exons. The record is from RefSeq and is a predicted model, not a curated record. Lineage: Eukaryota; Viridiplantae; Streptophyta; Magnoliopsida; Poales; Poaceae.
CUCCUGAACGGUGGGAAAGAAAAAAAAACAGCGCCCCCACUGUCCCCGCACCCCAUCUCUUCCACCUCCCGUCCCGAACUCCACCAUCCCACCUUCCCGCCGCCAGGAUCCAGCCAACGGCGAGUCGGCGACCACCACCAACCCACCUCCCCCGUCGCCAGGAUCCAGCCAUGAAUCCACCGCCCCGCUGUCGGGAUCCAGCCACCAAUCCACCUCCCUGCCGCCGGGAUCCCGCUGCUGCACAACCGCCACCAACGCAACCUCCCAUUGCCGGGAUCCUGCCGUCGCGCGACAGCCACCAACUCACCUCCCGCGUCGCCGGAAUUCACCCCUCAGCAGCCUUCCUCCUCUACUGCCGCGACCUUCCACCUCUGCCACUGCGGCCUUCUUCCCUCAUGUGCCUCCCUAGAUCGGCGACGCGAUGCACAUUCCCCCACUGGUGACCCUCCCCCUGAGUUCACUCUCUUCCCUCCAUCGCCGGCCUGAGAGCUACCCACGCCACCCCGCGCUGCCACCUUGCUCCUCCCGGUCGAUCUCCCGGAUCCGGCGCUCCUGUACAGAGCAGUGCUACCGCGCACCACACUAGUCAGCAUUAGCGCCCCUCUUCCUCCAUGCUGUUCCUGCCCUCUUCCUCCAUGCUGCUGCUGCCUUCGACUCUGCCCCCGCACUCCAUAGCCUCCGCAUUGAGCUGCCCUCUCCUUCAACUGGCAGUGCACACAAGCUGUUUGUGUAUAUGCCUCAAACAAAAAAGUGUGUUUUCUUUGUAAGAUUCUACCUUGGCUUAGUGCAUUCUCUCUCUUUGUUUACAGGAGAAGUUCAUAUACAGCGACAACAACAAAGUUCAUGUUGUCAGAAAAAUGAAGUCCAUAUGGAAGAUGAUGAUUGUUGUGUGUAUUUCAUGGACAAAUCAAUGCAGCGUCAUGGACUCAUCUUCUAUAGCACAUAAGUAGGCGUGCAUGCCAGAUUGGUUCCUUCCACUACCUAGCUGAUGUUGUUUGUACCUAGACUACCCACAGUGCCUGAUGAAGCUUCAAGACCGCAAAUAGACAAGCCCACGGAGAAACAACAUCCUUGUGUAUCUUGAGCUGCUGAAGCAGGACUUGAUGGAACAAGAUAUGGCGUCGGGAACACAGCAGGAUUAGCAAGUAAUUUCGAGAGUAAUCUUGUAUGCACCCUGGGCUCAGUUUGCGCCACGAUAAAUUGUUUUCAACAUGUAAUACAUUUUUUCGCCGCAUGCCAGGUGAGAUGGCGAACUGGGUGUGCUUUCUGUGUUUGUGUUGUGUGGGACCGUGGGAGAGUGAUUUUUCUUCAGAAGGUUCAGAGUUCUAUUGGGUUAAGGCAAACUUAGCUUAUUGUACAGUCUUGUUCAAACCGUGGUUUUUCUUCAGAAGGUUCAGAGUUCUAUUGGCUUA